GGGGGCCCGCAAGCGGUGGAGCAUGUGGUUUAAUUCGACGCAACGCGAAGAACCUUACCUGGGCUCGAAAUGCAGUGGACAGGGGUGGAAACAUCCCCUUCCGCAAGGACCGCUGUAUAGGUGCUGCAUGGCUGUCGUCAGCUCGUGUCGUGAGAUGUUGGGUUAAGUCCCGCAACGAGCGCAACCCUUAUUGCCAGUUGCCAUCAUUUAGUUGGGAACUCUGGCGAAACUGCCUCGGAUAACGGGGAGGAAGGUGGGGAUGACGUCAAGUCCUCAUGGCCUUUAUGUCCAGGGCUACACACGUGCUACAAUGGCCGGUACAAACCGUCGCAAACCCGCAAGGGGGAGCUAAUCGGAAAAAGCCGGCCUCAGUUCGGAUUGGAGUCUGCAACUCGACUCCAUGAAGCUGGAAUCGCUAGUAAUCGCGGAUCAUCAUGCCGCGGUGAAUACGUUCCCGGGCCUUGUACACACC
RNAcentral lists this ribosomal RNA (472 nucleotides) under uncultured bacterium. RNAcentral describes it as "bacterial SSU rRNA". It matches the Rfam family "Bacterial small subunit ribosomal RNA", at positions 915 to 1391 of the family's 1533-position model. The record is from RNAcentral.